RNAcentral lists this ribosomal RNA (554 nucleotides) under Polypedates megacephalus (Hong Kong whipping frog). RNAcentral describes it as "partial 16S ribosomal RNA". It matches the Rfam family "Bacterial large subunit ribosomal RNA", at positions 1811 to 2597 of the family's 2925-position model. The record is from RNAcentral. Lineage: Eukaryota; Metazoa; Chordata; Amphibia; Anura; Rhacophoridae.
AAACAUCGCCUCUUGACUUAUAAUAAGAGGUCCAGCCUGCCCAGUGAAUUUUUAACGGCCGCGGUAUCCUAACCGCGCGAAGGUAGCAUAAUCACUUGUUCUUUAAAUGGGGACUCGUAUCAACGGCAUCACGAGGGUUUUACUGUCUCCUCUUUUUGAUCAGUGAAAUUGAUCUUCCCGUGAAGAAGCGGGAAUAAUCCUAUAAGACGAGAAGACCCCAUGGAGCUUAAAACCAAAUAACAACUUAACCACUUACCCCACUAGAAAUUUAAGCCCUGUUAUAAGGUUUUUGGUUGGGGUGACCGCGGAGUAAAGAACAUCCUCCACGACGGAAAGAACACACUCUUUAUUUAAGAACCACAAUUCUAGAAAUUAGUAUACUAACGUUUACUGACCCGAUAAUCGAUCAACGGACCAAGUUACCCUGGGGAUAACAGCGCAAUCUACUUCAAGAGCUCAUAUCGACAAGUAGGCUUACGACCUCGAUGUUGGAUCAGGGUAUCCCGGUGGUGCAGCCGCUACCGAAGGUUCGUUUGUUCAACGAUUAAAACCCU